GGGCUUUGGAAACCCUCCGCCUCCUGCAGUAGCUUCCUAGAACAUCUGAAAACUUCAACAAGUUUUGUGAUGGCAGGAAACUAUUGCUAUGAAACUCAAUGUUCAACUGCUGUAAUUUUUCAUUUGUUGUUUUGGAGUGAUCAACAG
Molecule: long non-coding RNA, 147 nt
Organism: Lotus japonicus
Lineage: Eukaryota; Viridiplantae; Streptophyta; Magnoliopsida; Fabales; Fabaceae
Exons: 3
Source: RefSeq, a predicted model, not a curated record